Long non-coding RNA from Solenopsis invicta (red fire ant), 6860 nucleotides. RefSeq lists it as uncharacterized. The transcript is spliced from 2 exons. The record is from RefSeq and is a predicted model, not a curated record. NCBI's taxonomy places the organism in Eukaryota, Metazoa, Arthropoda, Insecta, Hymenoptera, Formicidae.
UGUGUGUGUGUGUGUGUGUGUGUGUGUGUGUGUGUGUGUGUGUGUACACAUAUAUGAUAAGGAUAAUUAAUAAAAAUAGUAACGAGUCGCUAAAUGGAAAUAAAGUCUCACAGAUCUUGCCGCCUGACUUUUCGCUUUAUCACAAGGUUUUAGAAUAGAACAAAUUUUAUCUUACUGCGUUUUAUUAAUACUUUUCAUUAAUUUCAUUUCUUAUUCGUCAACUCCAGGAAAUGUAUAAUAAUCUCGAUCGGCUUUUUUCGUUAACUCAACAACCGUUGGCGAUAAUAAUAAUCUUUAUUAGUGAGAAAUUCUAAAAAUUCGUGAUGCAUUGAUAUCUAGCUGUUAGACAAAUCGACGCGACGCGACGUCGCGAACAGAGAGAAAUCGUGCGGCGAAUACAUCUUUUUUUUUUUUAGAGAAAUAACCUGCUGACAUCUGCGUGUGAAGAUGUAAUAAUGCUCUACGUCAGCUGAGCAUUGUCGUCGCUCCGAAUUUCGUCGUUCGACAUGUGCGAGAGCACGUGUCGCGGUACGUUCAGGGUCGCGCAAUCUCGCGUUGUCGUUCUCCCUCUCUCGCUCUUUCUCCUUCCUUACCGCGAUUGUUCGCGCACAUGACGCAAAUCGGCGGCUUGCCAUCGCGGCAUUUUCUUGUUGAUCUGUUUUUCUGAGAACCGCGAGUGUAUCUCGAUGGCCGGAUUAACUCAGAGCUGUCAGAUAUAAUUUCUUGAUUAGGCAGGCGGGCGCCGGGCGGAGGGGUUAGAGAAAAUAUUAAACUCCGAUACGGCGAUCGUGAUUUAUCGCGAUCGUUUCGUCACGUAAGAUUAAGCGCCGCGGAGGAGGGAGUACGAUAUAUACGGCACCUACAGUUUAAAUGCCGGGGUUUCGAACGGCCUAAUUUAGAUUCUCUUGGCAAGAUACUCCUCGGAAGUUUAGCCAUUACCUUCCGAAAGACAGCGAUCGAAUAAAAUUAGAUGUUUCUGAUGGGAUUUGAACCCGGAUCUUGGGGACAGAAAGCAAGACACUCAACUCUCUGCGCCACGGCCGCUACGUUAAAUACAAAACAUAAAAGUGUUGACUAACGAGAAAUGGCUCAAUGGAAAUAAAUCAAAGUACAAACCAAUGCCACGAAAGACGACACUGGAUGCUCGCGUGUAAAAUAAUAUAUAAUAUUAUCAGCGAUUACAAAUAAGCGUUUUAAUCCUCAGUUUUGGAUCAUCUUCAGUAUAAAUAAUAUAAAAAGUGUUUUGUAUUUAAAUACUCUAUAUAAAAGCAUUUUGUAUCUUGUAUUCAAAUACAUAUUUUGAAAGUUGUUCAUUUUGUAUUUAUUAUAAAUGCAAUUUUUUAUGUUUUUGCCCGUGCUAACUCUCUCGAUCUCUCGUGCGUUUACGUCGCUUUCAAAAUGGUUCAUACGCGUUAAAGUACGCAUGAUGCGCCGGGAGAUGAUACAGCUUGAGAGAUUAAUUUUCUCCGCGCGUACACUCCAGUCAUUCUCGCAUCGUCUCUCAUCGGAAUGCUCCCGCCUGUCGACCGGUUACAAUCGUGUCGCGGUUGUCACCUGUCAGAUUGUCACUCGGUCGUCCAAUUAUCCUGCCGCCGCGCCGGGUGGUGCGAGCGAGCGAGCGCGACGGAGAGGGAUGCGGCUGUUAGCCGACCGAGUUCAACGAGUUCCCCCGGAAGAGAAGUGGGGCGGGCGCGCUCGCGCUCUCGAGAACGGUGCCGGGGCGAAAAUAGGUGCGAUAGAGGUAGGACGUUACCUGAAUAUUUUACGGACGACCCGGUGAUGGUUAAGACCGUCGUUAUCCGCGGCCUCGCUAUAAAAAGCCCACGCGGGCGUCGUCGCUCGGAGGCGUCGUCGUCCUCGGCCCGAGAGCCCGUCACCGUACCUCUUUAUUCGCUUUUAUUCCUCGUGAGUGAUCGCCCUCGGUAUAGGCGCAGCGCAACGCCGAGGGCCGCCCAUUCAAACGGCGGUGGCGGCUUCCCUUCAUUCGCGUUGCUCGCGAAACUCGCCGGACGAGUAGUCCAAAGUAUACCGAGGGUCGGGAUUAUCGAUUCGACCAGAAAUAACGUCACCGGCGAUUCUGUACAAAAAUUCCGACGAAAAUAUUGCUUCCGUACGAACGUCGUAUAAGUAUGUUACGUCCAGUUUUAUUAGAAUUCUUGUCAGGGCGUUUGUUGUUCCUUAUUGUCAAGCUUAAAUGAUGAAAGGGCGGUUAAAUAAAACGAUCCGUGAUCCUUGUUCAGUUUGGAACAGGCAGUUCUUUCUUUUGCGCGAACUUAAAUUGGUAGUAACCAAUUUAAAGUUACUUAACGGCGAAAUUGUCGGGAUUGAAGAAAAUAAGCUUUAAGCACGGGAUAAGUGAAAAGAUAAGAGAAUUUUCAUUAAUUAUCAAUAUAAAUUUUAUUUUUAGAAUCUUUAUUAAAAAUUGAUUCUUAUUAUGGAAGGAGCACUGUAUACGGCUUGGAAAAAAAUUAUUGGGCAGGAGAAACAGAAAUAGAGUUUCUUAUAAAGUAUUUUGUGAUUUUUCCGCUGCAGUAUCUUCCCUAGAACCGGCGUGUCUUCUCGAGACAAAGAAACCGUAAAUCUUCGAGGAAAAGCGUAAGACAUCGAUGUUAUCGGAGCGGGUUUCCCCGAUCAGCCUGGUCCUUCGAGGGGAUCUAUCCGUGAGCUCGAGGGUGAGAACGAGCGGCACUAAAGGUCGGUUAAGGGACGAAAAGAGGGUAGACGAAAUAGGAAGAAAGGAUCUCUUCUCCUCUGGCGUUUUUUUUUUGUCUGCAGUAUACACAUCUUAGAGAACCCCACGCUCGUGAAAAUCCCGAACGUGACUCGCAGCUUCCGCCAAUUUCCACCGGAAGAGACUCCGAAACCGUGUGUCUGCCACGAAGGAGACGAAUAGUUGACGUCCAUUGUCCCCGUGAAGUUCCAGUAACAGUGGGCGUUUCUGAUUAAUCCCUUUAUAAAAUGUCCCUCCUUUGACUCGUCCGAAUUUAAAUUUUUACGAAGUUAUUGUAACUGCAGCUGGCUCGGAUAUUCCACACCGGUUUCUAAAAACUAUAUUCCGAGAACAGGAUCGAUAAUCUCCUGAUAUUUUUGCGCACAUUACAUUCUUAUGUAUCUUUUAUAAAAGUUCACGUGUAAAUCUAUAUUUUCUCUCAAUUCGCGAUAGAAGAUCCUUUCUUAUGAUUCGUUAUUUUUGUAUAAUUGUUAUAAUUCAAGAAUUUAUACAUUUACCCAUAAAGCAAUCAAUUCUUUCAAUUAUAUUUCAUAGAAUUUUACGUAGAAGAUACUAUGAUAGAAUCAUGUCGAUUUCGUGAUCCCGAUAUAAAGUUUAAACGUAGAUUUCGUCAGUAUUUUGAUGAAAAUGUUUAGCAAGGACAUUGUACUAGUCAGUAAAAAAAAAAAAAAAUAUAUAUAUAUAUAUAUAUAUGGUAUAUUGUGGUUAUCACAAUUUAUCGUUUUCCCAGAAGAAUGAGGUAUCUCGUUUCUUGGACGACCGAUUCGCACUGAUAACAUCGGCAGUGUCGCCUCGUCGACGAUUUACGGGUCCUCUUGCGUCAAGCAUCUAUCGUAUGGGAUAUAAAAGUCGAUAGUCUUGAGAGCGCACCGUGAUCGUCGGAUGUAGGAAAAGAACAAUGAUAUUCAAGAUACUUCGCACGCGCGACGUUUCGAACAACUUGCUCCUGCCGUAUUUCGCUAAUUAGUCGCAAAAAAAGAAUAUGCCUUCUCAUUAUCUUAAUUAUCUACAGUCAGCUUUGCUUGCAUGAAAACGACGUGUGGCAACGCAAAAGAUAUUUUAGAACUGCGUUCGCUCGUAAUGUAUUCCGAGCGUAUGCGAGGCUUUACUUAAAAAUCCAUUCAAAUGUGGUCUCUACGUAUUUCCUCGUUUCGUAAGACCGCAUUGUUAAAUUUAGCAUUAAAGGUCAAAGGUCUGGCUCGAGCUGCAUUAUAUACGGCACAGCGGGUCCCUUUUCAGGCGAACCGUCAUCCAGCGUAAUUUUUAUCGCCCCGAAUUAUGUGCCCGCGUGAGUAGACAGAGCAGAAAUAUCGCGAGUUGUUUACCCUGCUUACGAUGCCGCGCUGAUUGUGACUAACGGCAAAAAACAAGCGAUUAGAGAGUAUGGCCGAAAUCUUAUCAGCAGCGCGACUAAUACGCAAUCUGCUUUUUAUCGGUCUUAUUUGCAAGCGACUUCACCAAAUUACGAUGAGUCAUUGCUGUCAUCAGCACACGGAGGCGCACACGGCGAUUCGAGCCUUGCUAUAUCACUCCGAGCAAUCGCUUUGAUAAGGCUUUUUUGACGCGAAAUGUGCUUGACAAAUAUGUAUAAUCUCGUGUUGCGAGAACGUAACUUAUAUACGUACUCCUAUUCUCAGAACAAUUAUCUAUAGAGCGUAGAAAAAUGUUUGAAGAAAAUCAGAAAACUUUGAUAAGACGCGUUCGAUAGAUGUAAGAUUUAAUUUAAUUAAGAGGCAUUGAAGAUAAUGAAAUCUGCACAGUUAAAAAAACUUGUGUUAAAUUUAACAUAAAAUGAAUGUGUGAAAGUAACGUAAAUAUUAUAUAAAAGCAUUAAUGUUAAAAUUGUAACACUUUGACGUAAUUUGGAAACAGAUUGUGAAAAUAUAUUUCAUUAGUAAAAUUAAUAUUUAUAUUAAUUAUAUAUAUCUCAUAAUGUUAACACAUAUGUGUGUUAAAAUUUAAAUUUAUUUUUAAAAAACUAUAUUAUCUUCAUGUUAUUUGUUUCUUUACUCAUAAAUUAUGUCAUUUUAAUACUAAGAAAUGUUGAACAUCAAUUUAACACAAAAUAUUCAGAUAACACAAUCACGUAUUAAAUUAAAAUUCAAAUAUGUCAAAAUUUAACACAAAAAUUGUAACAGAAUCCGGUAUUAAUAUAAAUACAAAGAUUUUACUGCGUAGUGAUUUGACAAAUAAUCGUUUCUCUUAAUAUUUGCUUUGAGGAAAGAUUGAUUUUAAAUUUUAUUGGCACAAAUUAUAUAUAUUUAAAAAUGUGAUUAUACUUUCUGACACAAUUCUAACAUAAUGAAAAUUUUAUCUAACAUUAAACAUUAAAGAUGUUCGAUCUUUCCUAUCGUGUAGCUGACUGCAACUUGACAUGUCGAUAUCUUCACCUCCAGUUACGUAUUUAGUUUCCACAUCAAACUGCUUCGAUAUAUACACGUAUUAAGAUCGUAUCUUUAGCAACGGUAAUGCAGAUGCGCCGAUGCGAUCGCGGGACAAUAUUAUCACGAGAUAACAUCAACAGAGAAUUAUACCUGCGCUGAUAAGCGAUAUCAAGCGAUCCGAUCGGGAACGUGAAAUACGCCUUUAUGGGAGGAUUCCGUGUUCUCUCCUGAUGCACUAGACGUAGUCUCGCUUUUUUGCUUCCCUAUCGAUAUCAUAGGAGAUCCCGACAUCUCAUUAAAUAACGGGUACAGGUUACCGCGAUCAAGAAUCUCGACAAUAAAUUAUACGAUCGGCUCGGCGGAGGCAUUCACAACUUAUCCUCGUCCCAUUGAUGCAUCCUUUCCUGUUUUCUCAUUUUCCCUUUUCUAAUUCCCUUUAAUCUUCCUCUUUUUCCCGGUGCUGUCGUUUAGAAUUUUUGUGGUUUUAAAACGUGAAAAUUAGGGAUCGCGUAUCCUUUUAUAGGCUAAGUCGAAGACGAAGUUCUCGAAUACUGAAUCCCUUUAAGAUUUAUUGUUUCUUAGAGUUCACUCGUGUGAAGGUUUUUGGAAAAUCCAGAAACUUUUCCUGAAAAUAAGUAGGUAAAUCGCAAACUGAAGUGAGACACUGUGUGAACGUGUGUUAGAAUUCCACUGUAUGCUUUUCUCGUCUAAGAAUUGUUAGGAGUCGCUCCUAGAAAGAUUUUCUUGGUACAAUACGCAAUGGAAUACUAAAGAACUUAAAUUUUAAGAGAAUUAACAUAUAUUCAUGUGCACAAGUUAUAAACAAGUUUUACAUAUGUAUAAAUAUAUAACGAAUGCAAUUAGUUAAGAACAAGAAUGUAAAUUUACAUAUAAAUUGAUUAUAUUGAGAGAAAAAAUUUUAAUGUCAUGCGACGUUUCUUUUUGUUUCCGCAUGUUGCUGUUGCAAAAAAGUUAACAUUAGCAAAGUAAGACGUAUAAAAUAUGUUUAAAAAAAUAGCGAUUUCACAAUGCUAAAUUGAGUUUCAAUAGAUAUAGUUUAUUUAUUUCUAACUUAUAACUCACUCGUUCAUUAACCUUUAUUCGUUUUUUUUUUUUUUUUUAAUCAUAUUGAGGUAUUUAGAUCGUAACAAGUUUAUUAAUCGCGUGAACAGUUUGCUCAAUGUGACCUUGUCUCGACAGACACUAUUAUUGUAGCCAUCUAUAGGAUAUUGAAGAGAAGCAAGAAAAAGGGAUAAGGUGAAAAACGGAUUAGAUAAGGGUUGGCUUAUGCCCGAUGGGCUUGUGUGUUAGUGGAUGAAAGAAAGCCCCUAAAUCUCGAUCGUAAAUAUAACAGGAACAAAAAACGGACGUUGUGGCAAAUACCAAAGUCUAUUUACUUUCCCACCUCGUCGUACAGAAAUGAGAGUUAUCGAUUCGGGACGAUAGCUCUAUGGUGUGCGAACACGAGCGGGAAGAAGAAUAAUCGCAGAUGCGCGCUGACAAAAAAACAAAAGCGCUUCUUUAACGGGUGAAAUGCCAGUUCGAUCGGCACGGAUUCAAUUCGGACUUUAAUCAGACACGGAUUUGAGAUUCAAUCGUUUCCGCUCUUCGCGUGUUUCCCCGAAGGAUUCCAAUGACCGCAAAUUAUCGCUCGCGAUUCUAUCGAGUCUGAUAAUUGAAACGUGAAUAAGUCCUUUCUUAAUCGCCUUUAAGCCAAUUAUUACAAAGCUAAAAAAAAAAAAAAA